UUACUCUACUACCCUCCUUCUCAUUCGAUAUACGAGUCUCCCUUUACUUGCCUAUGGUUUUAGACGUUUACUGAGAGAAAAUUAGAGUGUUCAAAGCAGGCAUUUGCUUGAAUAUAUUAGCAUGGAAUAAUCAUGUAUGAUUUUCAUGAUGUAUUUGAUUGGUUUGGUUCAUGAGAAUAAGAUUAAAAGGGACAGUUGGGGGUAUUCAUAUUCAAUAGUCAGAGGUGAAAUUCUCGGAUUUAUGGAAGAUGAACAAGUGCGAAAGCAUUUACCAAGGAUGUUUUCAUUAAUCAAGAACGAAAGUUAGGGGAUCGAAGAGGAUUAGAUACCCUCGUAGUCUUAACUAUAAACGAUACCGACUAGAGGUUAGUGAAGGUCAUUGUGUCUUGACUAGUAUC
RNAcentral lists this ribosomal RNA (398 nucleotides) under Blastocystis sp. subtype 3. Its description in RNAcentral is "bacterial SSU rRNA". It matches the Rfam family "Eukaryotic small subunit ribosomal RNA", at positions 682 to 1087 of the family's 1831-position model. Lineage: Eukaryota; Bigyra; Opalinata; Blastocystidae. The record is from RNAcentral.